This 91-nucleotide transfer RNA is filed under the name Yarrowia lipolytica. Its description in RNAcentral is "tRNA-Asn". The record is from RNAcentral. Lineage: Eukaryota; Fungi; Ascomycota; Dipodascomycetes; Dipodascales.
UCCGCAAUAGUUUAGUGGCUAGGAAUUCCCGCCUGUUCAGGUGUAUAUACCAGCACCGCGGGGGGACGGAGUUCAAUUCUCCGUUGCGGAG